RNAcentral lists this ribosomal RNA (441 nucleotides) under uncultured Bdellovibrio sp. RNAcentral's name for it is "bacterial SSU rRNA". It matches the Rfam family "Bacterial small subunit ribosomal RNA", at positions 338 to 795 of the family's 1533-position model. The record is from RNAcentral. Lineage: Bacteria; Pseudomonadati; Bdellovibrionota; Bdellovibrionia; Bdellovibrionales; Pseudobdellovibrionaceae.
CCUACGGGGGGCUGCAGUAGGGAAUAUUGCGCAAUGGGGGAAACCCUGACGCAGCGACGCCGCGUGAGCGAUGAAGGCCUUCGGGUCGUAAAGCUCUGUCGUAUGGGAAUAAUAAUGAAUGUACCAUAUAAGAAAGGAUCGGCUAACUUCGUGCCAGCAGCCGCGGUAAGACGAGGGAUCCUAGCGUUGUUCGGAAUCAUUGGGCGUAAAGCGGGUGUAGGUUGCUUUUUAAGUCAAAUGUGAAAUCCUAGGGCUCAACCCUAGAAGUGCAUCUGAUACUAUCAAGCUUGAGUGUGGAAGAGGCUAUUAGAAUUCCUGGUGUAGUGGUGAAAUACGUAGAUAUCAGGAGGAAUACCAGUUGCGAAGGCGGAUAGCUGGUCCAACACUGACACUAAGACACGAAAGCGUGGGGAUCAAACAGGAUUAGAUACCCCUGUAGUC